CUACAGCUCCCGGCGCGCCGCGCGGGAAUGCGGGCGGGAAUGCGGCUCCCGGCGUGCCCGGCGCCGCCCCACGGCCUGGCUGGGGGCGCGGGGCCUUGCCCGGGCCGUGGCUGCUCACCCUGCCGCGUCCCGGCCGCCUCCUGGGGCAUUGUCCCGGGCGGCCGGAGAGCGCUGCUGUGGCUCCCUCCGGCCUCCGGGGACCCGACCCGACCCGACCCGGCGCGGCUGCCCGGCUGUGCCCGCCUGCCCUGCCCACCACUCGUUUGCCUAAGGUGGUUGGUUCCCUGAAGAGAAUUAGUUCCCGGUCCGUGUGGUGGCCGCACAACUGUUAGUUAGUUCCCUGUCCUUGUGGUGGUUCACAGCAUCCCCCGGCACCGCCAUUUCACGUCUGAGUUCAGGGGGGAACGGAAAUUUUAAGUGGCUCGGCAGAAAGAACAUCUGAGCCGUGCGGACCUGCGGAUAACCCACAUGUGGGUGCUGCUGAAGGCAGGGCCGCUUCUAAGGCGGCAGGCACCUUCCAAGAGUAACCUUGCCAUGUAAGCUUCAUCUCCAGCCUUGUCAAGCGACAGCAAAACGAAAAGCCUUUUGUUAAAAGCUGGAGAGAAGCAGGAGGGAAAAAAAAAAAGCAUUCUCUCUUCCAGCAGACUCAAUUUGAUAAAGACAAGGAGUGGCCCUUCAUAGCACUUUUUUAAAAGAUGCUGCUCACAAUAGGCUGUGGAUGCGCCCGUGGGGCAAAGGUGCGGCAGGAGGGAGGAUGUUCCCACCUCAGGGGUUUCCUGGCUUCCACCAUCAUUUCUGGCUGCAGACAUUUAGAUGUUUAGCCCCUCUUAGCUAGAAUUCCAGUUGGCUGCUGAUCUCCAUUUUGUGUGCAGAACAGCUUUGUCCCUCGAAUAGUACAGCAUAGCUGAUGCAGGCAAUUAAAGAAGCAAUUCCUGCUUUGGGGAGGGAUCUUUGGUUAGAGGAAACGAGUACUGUCGCAAAAACUUAAAACACACCUGGCUCCUGAUUGUCAGAAUACGUAAUUAAGGCACCUGAGGGACCCGUGUGUGAACCUGAGGUUGGAAGUAAUGCCUUACUUUGCCAGUAAAAUAUGUGGACAGGUCCAUAAGUCCACUGGGUAAUGGUUCUUUGCUCCUUUGGCUAAAAGCUAGGAAACUUGUGGCUAUUAAACUGAAAACUUUUGUGGGAAAUCGUUGCUUCCUUGUUGAGGAAUACCGAGGAAAAUAUUGUUUCUUAAAUCUGCAGAGGUCAAAAAGCUUACCUGAAAAGGCAGGGGCUCCAUUUCCUACUAACAGUAUGCAUUAACUGGAAGAAAUAGUUGUAACAAAUGACUUGUAACAAAUCACUUAGUCUUCAUUGUCUCUUGUUUGUUUUCUGUCUGUAAGAAGCAUUGAAAAGCAGAAGGAGAGGAAAACAUAACUUGUAGCCUGUAGUGACAGGAGAGAGAAAUUUCAUGUCCUAUGAGGAAUAAAUCCCAAGUGUCAUUUAUUUGACUUAAAAAUUGAAUUUUUCCUGUUUAAAUACUAGACUUUAUAGAUAGAGGAAUAACACAGUAUUACAGCUCUGACUUCCUCAGUGCUGCAGCUUAUCUUUUCCUCCAGUUAUCUGCAAAAGACAAGAAAAUCCUUCUUUUGAGCCGAAAGACUGGUUUGGUAGAUGUGAGAAGCAAUGUUAAGCAUGAGUGAAUACUGCAGAAAGCUGUGCCAUGUAUGGUGUGUGUUACAGCAGUUUGCAUUUAUGUGAUUAGUUGGGAGAGUGAGGAAGUAUGGUAUGGGGACACUCCAGGAUUCUCACAGAGAUCAGUCUGGCUGUUUGGUCAAGGGGCAGAGAUCAGCUGUGGGCACUGUCACCACAAAUAAAGCAAAAUGUGUGAACCGAGGGACUUCUGCACUGUAAAACUGAAAAACAAGGUGCCUGAGCCCUUAAUGGAAACACAGAAAAUCUCAGAGAAGAACACAACCAAAGUCAUUGUUCACCAAUCUUUACAUUUACUUGUGCAGUGACGUGCUCCAAUACAGUUCUUGUAUUGGAGCAAUACAUUCAGAGGUUUCUUUGUCUUUAUGGCAAAUGCUAUUUUCUGUUUCAUUUUCAAAAGUGUAGAAAUAGCCAAGAUUAGCAAAGCACCAAUUUUCAGCCAUAAAUGAGAAGUUAGAGAAACCCAAGGUGCCUUAGAUUCAGAGAGGUGCAAUUUCUGGAAAUUCUCUUAAAAGAUUAUAAAAAAUGUAGAAAUCUGGCACAAAGAAUACAUGAGCAUUUAAAAUCAUCUGUUAUUGAUUGUCUUUUCUCCCUUGAUCACCACAGCUGUUCAAAGACAACGAAGAGUGGCCUUGCAAUGGCAUCUGCCAGGUCCCUCAGCAGUCACAAAGGUAUCCUGUCUCAUCCUGUGAAUUGUGCAUGUCCAGCUUGUCUAAGGAGUCCCUGUUGGAUCCACUGAUUCUGCAACAACAACCAACUCAAUCCCUGGAAAGGUCAUGGAGUGCCUCAUUUUGGCGGCCAUCUCUAUUCACAUGGAUGACAAGAGGUGAUUAGGAGUAGUCAGCGUGGAUUCACUAGGGGCAGAUCAUGUUUGACCAACCUGAUUGCCUUUUAGUGAGGCCUUCAACAAGGUCUCUCAGAAUAUCCUCAUAGACAAAGUCAGGAAUUGUGAACUGGGUAGGUGGACAGUGAGGUGGAGGGAGGCCUGGCUGAACAGCAGAUCCCAGAGGGUUGUAAUCAGUGGCACAGGGUCUAGUUGGAGGCCUGUCACCAGUGGUGUCUCCAAGGUUCAAUACUGGGCCCAGUAUUGUUUCACAAGUUCAUCAAUGACCUGGAUGAAGGAGCAGAUGCCUCUCAGCAGGUUCACUGAAAGCACAGAGCUGGGAAGAGCGGUCGAUACCCCAAAGGGCUGCAGAGCCCUUGAGAAGGACCUGGACAGGCUGGAGGGAUGGACAGAGGGGAACUGCCUGCAAUUCAACAAGGGCUAAUGCAGGGUCCUGCACCUGGGGAGAAUAACCCCAGGCACCAGUACAGGCUGGGGGCCAACGUGCUGAGGAGCAGCUCUGUGGAGAAGGACUUGGGGGUCCUGGUGGACAACAAACUGUCCAUGAGCCAGCAGUGUGUCCUGGUGGCCAGGAAGGUCAAUGGAAUCCUGGGGUGCAUUAGGAGAGCAGUGCCAGCAGGUCAAGGGAGGUGAUCCUGCCCCUCUGCCCAGCCCUGGUGAGGUGCACUUGGAAUGCUGUGUCCAGUUCUGGCUCCUCAGGAAUACAAAGGUGAUUGAGGGACUGGAGCAUCUCUCUUACGAGGAAAGGCUGAAGGAGCUGGGACUGUUCAGUCUGGAGAAGAAACAACUGAGAGGGGACCUCAUCCAUGUCUGUGAGUAUCUAAAGGAGGGGUGCUGAGAGGAUGGAUCCAGGCUCCGCUCAGUGGUGCUGAGCAGUAGGACAGAAAUUGAUGCAUAGGAAGUUCCACCUGAAUAUGAGGAAGAGCUUCUUCACUGUGUGGGUGAUUGAGCACUGGAACAGAUUGUCCAGAGAGGUUAUGAAGUCUCUGGAUGCAAUCCUGUGCUCUAGGAUGACCCUGCUUGAGUAGGGAGCUUGGACCAGAUGACCCACAGUGGUUCCUUCCAACCUGCCCCAUUCUAGGGAUUCUGUGAGGGAAGCAGCACUCCUUUCUCAGAAAUAAAGGGGGAAAGGAUAAGACUUUGUGCAGAAGAAUUUUUUGUCCUCUCAUGACAUCACACUUCCCCCAGGAGUCCUUUCUCAGUCUCUCUCUGUUCUUGUGUGCCGUGCAGGUAUAUACAGCCUGUUCUGCUGCAGCAAAGGAAGAGGAGUUAGUCACUGCUGAAUUUGUCAAGGAAAUGUUACAGAGCUGUUAUUUCUCUGUGUAUCACGUAUGCUUCCAUGACUGGCACAUUGCUGACAUAUUGCUGUGUCAGUCAUGAAGACUAACACCUGGUAUUUCCAUCUCAUGGUAUAUGCAAGAGGAAUAAACAUUCAGUGGGAUGGACUCACCACCUUCCCCAUGAACUAUAGCAGGGUAGGGAUGUGCACAGAGGCAAUUUUUAUAAAACAGCUGACGUGCUGCAAGUUUACAUCCUACAGUUUGCAUCCUGUGGUUUCCUAUUCAUCUGCUCAAAUCAAAAUGCCGAGUCUUGCAAUCCAUCCUUAGAAUAGGGCAAGCUGAGUAAUCAUACAGCUGCUUGCUCAGAGGUGGCUGAGUAGAAGAACUUGCACAGGAAGAAUAUAAGCUUGCCUCCACAGCUGUGAAGUUCAAUAAAUUUAGCAGACUGCAAACUACUUAUGAAUUCAAUUUGUUAGCAAGGACACUUUUUUUUUACUUUUGAAGGCUUUCAUAUUUUCCCACAUGAUCACAAUUUGUUAAAGAGGGGUUGAGGUAAGAAAUAAUGUAUGUUAUCAACUCUUUAUAUUGAAUUUGGCAGAUGCUAUGAAAUAAGGAAUUUUAUAAAUAAGAUGAUAUUAGUUUACUGUACCAAUAGAAUGUUUAAUCAGAGUCAUUGUAUGCCACACACAUUAAAAAAAUUUCAAACAAGUACAGAAAUUCAAAGACAUUAAUAAUGGGUUGGUCUGCCAAAGUCUGCCAUAAUCAGCCUGAAUUUGUGUCAAAAUUGUUUUCCAUAAAAAUGAGGGAAAAAAUGGAAGAGCUAAAUUAAGAUACAAGGCCAAAGAAUAUAUUCAAAUUCAAAUUUACCUUGCUUUCACGGAUGGAGAGUGGAUCAGCUCUACAAAAAUAGUAAAUUAUGUAUUACUUUAAAUUAUCAUUAAAAAGAUUGCUGUUGAAUAUUUUACACAAUUUAAAUCAGUCUGCUUGUAUGAGAUGUAUGUACAGUGUCUAAAAGAAUGUUCUUAACAUACUGGCUUUGGUUGUUUUCACUGCAUAAAUAUUUUAAUACUUAAAGAGGGACUCUUA
This is a long non-coding RNA of Haemorhous mexicanus (house finch), 4905 nucleotides long. RefSeq lists it as uncharacterized. The transcript is spliced from 2 exons. Lineage: Eukaryota; Metazoa; Chordata; Aves; Passeriformes; Fringillidae. The record is from RefSeq and is a predicted model, not a curated record.